CACCCACGUCUCUCUCUCUCCCCCCUCUUCAGUCCUCACUCUCAUAUCCUCCCACUGAGAUUUGUAUCUCUUCAGCAACUACAGCAGCAAAAAGAACACGCCCAAUAUGGCCUCUCCUUGUACUUCCUCACUCUGCAUCACCACGCUGCUUCUCGCGGUCGUUUCUUGGGCAACAUCUGCUUCCGCCCGUAACUUCUAUCAAGACUUCGACGUUACCUGGGGAGAUGGCCGAGCUCAGAUCCUCAACAAUGGCGACCUCCUCACUCUCUCCCUCGACAAGGCCUCCGGCUCCGGCUUCCAGUCCAAGAACGAGUACCUGUUUGGCAAGAUUGACAUGCAGCUCAAGCUCGUUCCCGGCAACUCAGCAGGCACUGUCACCGCUUACUAUUUAUCUUCAAAUGGGUCGACGUGGGACGAGAUAGACUUCGAGUUCUUGGGGAACUUGAGCGGCGAUCCUUACAUUCUUCACACCAACGUGUUCAGCCAAGGCAAGGGCAACCGAGAGCAGCAAUUCUAUCUCUGGUUCGACCCAACUGCAGAUUUCCACACCUACUCCAUCCUCUGGAAUCCACAACGCAUCAUAUUCUCAGUGGACGGGACUCCGAUCAGAGAGUUCAAGAACGCAGAGUCGAUGGGUGUUCCCUUCCCCAAGUCCCAGCCCAUGAGGAUAUUCUCGAGCCUCUGGAACGCGGACGACUGGGCGACCAGAGGCGGGCUCGUGAAGACGGACUGGACCCAAGCGCCCUUCACCGCUUCCUACAGGAACUUCAACGCCGACAACGCCUGCGUUUGGUCAUCUGGUUCAUCGUCUUGCGCUUCAUCCUCAUCUUCAUCUUCUUCGGAUGGUAAUACAUGGCUAUCGGAAGAGCUCGACUCAACAAGCCAAGAGAGGCUCAAGUGGGUGCAAAGCAACUACAUGAUCUACAACUAUUGCACGGAUGCCAAAAGAUUCCCCCAAGGCCUCCCACCUGAGUGCACCAUGUCCUAGACGGCACAAGACAUAGAAUUUUUCAGAAAAUCCUCUUCUUCUUUUUUCCUUCUUUUUCUUCUUCUUUUUUUCCUUCUUUUCAAUUCUUUUAUUCGUUAAGCUGCUAUCUGUGGUCAAGAAGCAACUGAUAAUUCUUUUAUUCUUUGACAUUUGUAACAUUCCUAUCUUUACUCAAUAAACACAAUAUUAUCUUGGACUU
Molecule: RNA transcript, 1187 nt
Organism: Rhodamnia argentea
Lineage: Eukaryota; Viridiplantae; Streptophyta; Magnoliopsida; Myrtales; Myrtaceae
Gene name: probable xyloglucan endotransglucosylase/hydrolase protein 23
Exons: 4
Source: RefSeq, a predicted model, not a curated record